AUGGAACAAUUAGUGGUGAAGCAAACAGAAGAGGACAUCAAGAAGAAUAGGCUUCGUCUUAGAGUAACAAUCGAUGCACUACGGUGGUUAGCAUUCCAAGCUUGCCCCUUCCCUGGGCAUGAUGAAAGUCUUGAUUCAAGGAACCAAGGUAAUUUUCUUGAAAUGGUCAAAUUGGUAGCUUCUUAUGAUGAGGAAAUUGGUGCAGUUGUAUUGGGUAAUGCUCCAGGGAAUGCUAAGUAUACCUCACCUACAAUUCAGAAAGAACUUCUGCAUAUGAUUGCUUUUAAUGUGCAAAAAUAA
RNAcentral lists this ribosomal RNA (300 nucleotides) under Triticum aestivum (bread wheat). RNAcentral describes it as "partial small subunit ribosomal RNA". Lineage: Eukaryota; Viridiplantae; Streptophyta; Magnoliopsida; Poales; Poaceae. The record is from RNAcentral.